Ribosomal RNA from Bison bison bison, 119 nucleotides. The record is from Ensembl. Lineage: Eukaryota; Metazoa; Chordata; Mammalia; Artiodactyla; Bovidae.
GUCCACGGCCGUACCACCCUCAAUGGGCCCGAUCUUAUCUGAUCUCAGAAGCUAAGCAGGGUCAGGUCUGGUUAAUACUUGGAUGGGAGACUGCCUGGGAAUACCAGGUGCUGUAGGCU